UAUUAGACUUUAUACAGGUUACGACAAAAGCCCGUUUUGGCCGAUUUCCAACAAAAAAAUGAAUGAAAAUUUUGACAGACAAAUUGGAAUGGUUUGUUUACAAUUCGACUGGUUUGUUUACAAUUUGUCUGGAUUGCAAUCGUGCUAUGCUGUGAUAAGGAAGAAAUCGAGAAAGUGAGCAUCCAGUAAAAAUAUGCAUUUGUUGUGGUGAUAAGAUCCAACAUGUAGGAGUUUAACAUUGUGUCAGCAUUAUUAGCAUUACGGACCAGGAGAUAAAUGAGCGAGAGAAGUACCCAGCUAGAAAGCAUAUGUUGAAGGGAAAAUGUAUGCAGUUGCUAUAACUUGUGCGAUUUCUCAUAUACGUGUGCAGUGCAGACACAGUUUCAUCUUACGAGUUUCCUUUCCGACCAACAACAGUUCAGUAACUAUGAAGAGGGAGGGGGGCAAAGUGCCGUAUAUUCCCAAAGCAAUCACUGUUCAUAAUAGAUGAGGAAUCAUACCAUGCCUGGCUGUUGCACAGUAUCCGUUGGGAUGAGGUUUAGCUCCCUUCAGAUUCCACCCGACUGCAACAUAAUGUCCUGAUGACCGAGAUGGCAUGUUGCUACGGCUAGAUGAGUAUCUUUGCACUAAUGAACGAAUGACCCGUUGAAUGUUGCUCCAUUCUAGGGAACGAAUUCUUUUACCACCCGGAUGUAACUGUAGCAUCAGCAGAGGGAGAAGCUGCUCAUAUAUACCGUCAUAUAGAGAUAAACCGUUAGCUGGCCACCACAUGUAUUGGCGUAUCCCUGUGGUUCCAACAGUGCCGCGUGAUGGGUCCAGCACACAAAUAACCAACAAUUGCAACCAUAGCCCGACUCCAGUGUGUGAUCUGGUUGCAUAAUCAGUUCUGACACGCAGACUGGAUGCACGUGAUCAUACGUCAUCUACUAUCUCAGCUCACUAAUGAACAAUGAAAGACAGUCAAUCUCAUAUCGAAGCAAACCACUAAUAAUCAAAUCUUGAGAAGCAUAUCGACGAUCGUGGGGAUCAUUAAACUAAACAUACGACACCGAAUUUCAUAUGGGAGAAGAGUAGAACUCGAUUGCCUCAAGAGCCGCCUAACGGUUGAACGCUUUCAACCCUGUCAGUUCAUACCAGACUAACUGGGUACCAAACAAUGCUCGCGUAUUCUAAAGUAGGAUAGAAUAAGCUACAGUAAAGGGUUUUGAAGCAGUGGGGUAACGCACAUCAUGCAUCAUCAAUGAUUCCGACCCGCAAAUGGAGCGGGUGUGCUAGAUCGGAGUCGGAAACAAAUCCGACCCGAGGUAGUAAGGACUUCAAGUUAACUCGAAUGAUUAGUAGUUGUAAGAAAGCAUAAGCGAUUCCAUCUACUAACCCAGUAACCCAUUGGUGCAGCGAGUUUGGGUCAGGUCAAAGUAGGUUCAAUACCCGACCCGUACUCGCUGCACCAAUGGGCCGGAAUCGCUUAUGCUUUCUCGUAUCUACCGAAAUCGUUGCACAUACUGCAUCUAUUUGUACGUUUCAGGUUGACCCGCACGACUCCGGGAUGCUUCGGAUUGCUCCGACCCGGUGAGUUCCAGUUGCCCCGCCUUUCACUAGUGUGUGUAUAGAAGAACGUGCGUGAGUUGUCGGAUCGCUGACCAAGGAGUAGGAGAAGGAUGUAAAAGUGAGUUAAUGUUUAACGAGCCCGUUGUAACAAUAAUAAUUAGAAAAUAAACUUCAAAUAUAUUUGUGUUUUUUGGUAGCAUUUAUCAAA
This is a long non-coding RNA of Anopheles arabiensis, 1756 nucleotides long. RefSeq lists it as uncharacterized. The record is from RefSeq and is a predicted model, not a curated record. Lineage: Eukaryota; Metazoa; Arthropoda; Insecta; Diptera; Culicidae. The transcript has 4 exons.